AAACCUUGUUUACCAACAUUGAUCACAACCAUCUGGAAUUGCGCAGGGUACUUCGGAAUUGUUUGAUACAUGGGAAGAUUCCUAACUACUUUAAGGAUAUGAUGUAUCUUAAUACCAUAGACCUCAGUUUCAACAAUCUUCCUUUUCCCAACUAGAAAAUGUGGACCACAUGUAUGUGAAUUAUCUUUCACAAUAUUUUCUUGUCUUCUAAUUAGUAACCAUUAUCAAUUCUCUAUGUGUGUACAUUAUUUUAAUAGUUAUUUGACAAAAAAUAAUCUUACUGGAGCUAUCCCUGGAUGGGUCUUAUCAAGCACCAAGAAUGUGGAUGUUUCGUAUAAUCAUUUUACCUGGGAUGCUAGUUCUGGUCCAAGAAAAUGUGAUCAAGGGACAAUAAACGUGGUGGAGGGCUAUUCUUCGUCAACAAAUGAACAGUAAGACACAUGACCCUAACUCUUUAUUUGAGGUCACACCAAUAAC
This is a long non-coding RNA of Helianthus annuus (common sunflower), 477 nucleotides long. RefSeq lists it as uncharacterized. Lineage: Eukaryota; Viridiplantae; Streptophyta; Magnoliopsida; Asterales; Asteraceae. The record is from RefSeq and is a predicted model, not a curated record. The transcript is spliced from 4 exons.